Molecule: ribosomal RNA, 421 nt
Filed under: uncultured bacterium
Lineage: Bacteria
Description: bacterial SSU rRNA
Rfam family: Bacterial small subunit ribosomal RNA
Source: RNAcentral
AGGAAUAUUGGUCAAUGGGCGGAAGCCUGAACCAGCCAUGCCGCGUGCAGUACGAAGGCCCUACGGGUCGUAAACUGCUUUUGUACGGGAACAACCGCAGUUACGUGUAACUGUCUGAGUGUACCGUAAGAAUAAGGAUCGGCUAACUCCGUGCCAGCAGCCGCGGUAAUACGGAGGAUCCGAGCGUUAUCCGGAUUUAUUGGGUUUAAAGGGUGCGUAGGCGGGCUUUUAAGUCAGCGGUAAAAAUUCGGGGCUCAACCCCGUCCGGCCGUUGAAACUGGGGGCCUUGAGUGGGCGAGAAGAAGGCGGAAUGCGUGGUGUAGCGGUGAAAUGCAUAGAUAUCACGCAGAACCCCGAUUGCGAAGGCAGCCUUCCGGCGCCCUACUGACGCUGAGGCACGAAAGUGCGGGGAUCGAACAGG